RNAcentral lists this unclassified non-coding RNA (314 nucleotides) under plant metagenome. Its description in RNAcentral is "partial contains 5.8S ribosomal RNA, internal transcribed spacer 2, and large subunit ribosomal RNA". The stretch from base 1 to 105 matches the Rfam family "5.8S ribosomal RNA", at positions 50 to 154 of the family's 154-position model. The record is from RNAcentral.
GAAAUGCGAUAAUUAAUGUGAAUUGCAGAAUUCAGUGAAUCAUCGAGUCUUUGAACGCACAUUGCGCCCCCUGGUAUUCCGGGGGGCAUGCCUGUCCGAGCGUCAUUGCUGCCCUCAAGCACGGCUUGUGUGUUGGGCUUCCGUCCCUGGCAACGGGGACGGGCCCAAAAGGCAGUGGCGGCACCAUGUCUGGUCCUCGAGCGUAUGGGGCUUUGUCACCCGCUCCCGUAGGUCCAGCUGGCAGCUAGCCUCGCAACCAAUCUUUUUAACCAGGUUGACCUCGGAUCAGGUAGGGAUACCCGCUGAACCUAAGC